This is a long non-coding RNA of Artibeus jamaicensis (Jamaican fruit-eating bat), 4302 nucleotides long. RefSeq lists it as uncharacterized. The transcript has 3 exons. The record is from RefSeq and is a predicted model, not a curated record. Lineage: Eukaryota; Metazoa; Chordata; Mammalia; Chiroptera; Phyllostomidae.
AUGGGGGUGCUCCAGGAACCAUGACAAGCUGUACCAUGAGUCCUUGACGACACCCCCACCCUCCUGCGUAGCCACAAGGCUGGAUGCAGAAGCCGCCUCUUACUCGGCCGCAGACCCAUGGCACCAUCGUGGACACUGGCGCGCUAUAGAGAUGAAUCGAAGACGAGCUAGGAAGCCACUCGAGGUCUCGAUGAGGACGUGGUUGGCACCCUGCCACACAGCCGCACGAUGCAAUGAAAAGUGCACACUGAUGUGAAGCGGUGCCCGCAGAGCGCAGCUAAGGAGAGAGAGCAGCAUCCCGUUGAAACGUGCCUUUUACGUACGUGCACAUUCACGGCCGUACCUGCACAGGCACAUUCCUACAGGCAGGUGGAUUUUACUUCUGGAUGCUGACGUUACAGGCGAUUGAUGCCUCCCCUUGCUUACCUUUUGCUCUAAGUGUCCUGUAAUGAACACAAAUGACUCCCGUAAUAAGAAAAACAAUGAAGGGCAUUUUUAAAACAAACAAAUGGAUGUGUGAAAUCAGCAGGCUCAGUUCAAUUUGAAAUAAUAAGAGCUGUCACUCAGGAGUGAUUCCUACAUGCUUCCCAGCGGGCAAAGGGCUCCCAGCAGCUUUGCUUCGGCUCACAACUGCCUCAUGAGAAGGGUAUGGCUGAGCCAGGGUCGGAGCUCAAAGAGAGAGCCCAGCGGAGCUGAAGUGGCCAGCCCAAGGCCACACACAGCUGGUGACUAAUGUGGGGAGUCCCAUCAGCCCUGGCUGAUAAUGUCUCUUCUCUCGACUGCUUCCUGCUACUGCCUGGUGAAAAGGGGAUGCUUUUGUCACAGUCCAUUUGCCGAUUGGGCUGCUGUGACAACUACCACAGCCCGUGUGGCCAAUCAACAAUGGAACUGCAUUUCUCAUGGUGCCGAAGGCAAGAAGGCCACAAUCAAGGUGCAGCAAAUGCGGCCCUGGAGGCUGCCGGAGGCCAGCCCGGUCUGAGCUGCUGGUGUGCCGAUACUCUCGCAUCCCAGGGUGGCGCCGCCCCCAUAGCACAGGCACGAGUCCCGGCAUCUGGCAUAUGAGAAAGCUCAGUGAGAAUGCAGGGCCUUUUGAUGUGAUUUGAUGGCUCUUUCAGACUCCGAAAGUAAUGUAAAAGCAAGUAACAAGCCCUCUGAUGCAGCAACAACCGUGAAUAAUCGCCCACCCACCUGCUCGGCUGCACUGCCUGCUUUCCCUCUUCGAUUGGAGCUAACGAGCAGGGAGGCCCUUCACUGCAGUGCAGGAGAGCCUGCAGCUCUGCCUGCUGGGCUGGGCUGCGCGGGCAGCGGCCCCACCCCGGGGGAUUCUCUGUCACUGGUUCUCCAGGGACAGUGCCCACAGGGACAAGGGCCCCACUCCAGGGACCGAGGAAAUCUUCCGCGUACUGGGAGCCGGCUGACACAGUGAGGGCCCCUCAGGGCCGUCAGCGCACCAUCCCCCAGCCCACACUCGAUCAGGACACCUCGGUUCCGUGCCAGGACCCACUGGGGAGUAACAUCAGGGACAGACAGGCUCAAAUCCCUGCCCUCCUGGAGCUUAUAUUCUUGUCAUGGGGCCAGAAAACAAAUGACGCAGUCGAGAUUCUAUAGAAUAGCCAUAAAAAUGCAAGGAAGAACAAAGGCAGGUGUGGUGAGUUGAACAGUGCCCCCCCCCAAAGUUCACGCCCACCUGAGACCUCACCACGUGUGUGUUUUACACUUAGCGCAUCUCAGCCUGGACCGGCCACGGUUCAGGUGUCAGCUGCCCCGGCGGUUGGACGGCGGUUCUGGAGUGUUGUACGAGUGCUUUCAGUCUACUUUGUCACAGCCUUGAGGUUCCGAUUCAACUCGUGUAAUUUAUGGAAUAGAGCUGCCAGGCAGCCUAAUUAGCAAAGCGCAUCCCAAUUUCCAACCCUUCAGCCAGAUCCAACUUACUGUCUGACGGGAAAGUCUGAGUGCGGUUUAAAAUCCCCAUAGAUGUAUUAAUGCACAAGAACUGCUCAGCUUCUCGUUCCCGAAAUCGAAGUCCAGGAAGGAUGGACAAUUGGGUACGUGGAUGAGUCGACGGACGGGCGGAGGCAGAGAAGGUGAGUAGAGAGCAGAUAGGUAGAUGGGUGGGUGGAUGAUAGAUAGGCAGAUAGACGGGCAGAGAGACUCAAGACAAACAGACGACGCAGAGACAGCUGAGGAUGCGUGACGUCUGGACAAAACGAGGGGCCUCUGCUUUGAGUGUUUCUCAGCAAAGCUCCUUUGCCUUUCAGUCCCCGAACUCCUCCGGGAGUUCGAGGGCCCAGAGGCUGGGUCCAGGACGAAGGGAAAGGACGGCUUUCUUCCGUGACUCGGGAACGAAAGCACAGUGCGGUUCCUCCCUCCGGAUGCUCCGUCAGUCGGUGCGUGGGGUUUUCUCUCUGUACCUGGUACCUUGUAGACAAAGAUGGCCACUGUGUGUGCCCUGCAGGCAGAACCUCAGUGACAAGCGUAGGAAGAAGAGGACGGAGCAGAGUCACCUGGUCAAGGUUUUGCUCCUCUACCCGGGAACGAGGCCCCUCCUGGUUCCCCUGCCAGCAUCCGGUUGGUUAUAGCCAUGUGACUUAGACACUCCUAGCUUCUCGGGAAGCUGAGAAGUAAAACAGUGAACUUCCAGCCUCUGCAAGAGAAGGCAGGUGAGAAGGUGGCAGGGGUGCUGGCGUGUGUGAGCCCGUCUGCAGUGCCUGCCAGGCAUGCGUUCCGCAGGCAGGGCUGACGGACCCCUGGGAGCUCCCGGGGGAGAGAGGUACAAAGAGCCCGGAUACAAGACACCAAGGCACGGCUAGAGAUGGGGAGGGCAGAGCAAACAUGGGCCCAGAGGAGUGGCAAGCAGGGGCUGGGGUGGGACCAGGCAGAGCUCAGCCCUCUGAACAGGGCUGGUGGCGGUGUGAGCACCCCGCCAAGCCCCUCCAGCCCAAGGCAGCCCGGACCCAGGGGGCCAAGCCUGAAACAGGAAGGGCUCCCGAGGCAGGGACCACCGUGCAGCCUUGAGAGCAGUUCCAUUGUAUGUCUCGUUAGAAGUAGAAAACAGCCUUCAUGAAACAUUUUUUAAAAUACUGGAAGAAAACAAACACAGUAACGACAAUCCCUUUGUCUUCAGUGCUGAUAUUUUAGUGACUUUCCAUCCACUUUUUAUUUUUUCUGAUAAAACAGACUGUUUCCAGUGGUCAGAAGCUGGUGUGUCUGGGGUCCCAGGGGUGGAGGUUGCCCCAAGCCCACCUGGUUCCACAGUGUCGGGGCCCCGCCUCCCUUUUCUCUCUCAGCAUCGCCAAGCACUGUCUCACCUCCUUCUCAGAUGUGCGCUUUCCAAGGUGCGCCCUGUCCGUGCAUCUGCAACCCCAGAUGAAGAGACCUCAGUGGAAGGGUCUUUGCACAAAUCUCUCAUCGGCCUGCAUGGGACACACCCUUCAGGGUGAGCUACACAAGAUCAUUGACCAGUGAGACACUGUGGCUGUCCGUCUCUUUUCAAGAUUACAGUUCAACUGAAUAUAUAGUGACGUGUCUCGGGUGAAUGAAUGAGUCUCUGAGGGAGUUUGGUUCAUCUACCAUCUGACUUCACCCUCUGCAUCCACCCUGCGUGAACUCAAGACGGAGGAUGACAUUAUGUGCCUUUUACAGAUGGGAAACCUGAGCCCAGAGAACUGAAGUGACUAGACCCGGAGGUUUCUGAAUCCUGUGUCUGGGUUCAGCCAGUCUUCACCAAAAUUAAUUAACACAGGAGGAACUUGGAACAGAACUUGGCGUGGAACAGCAUCAGGUAAGAACACACAUCGGUCAUUGUUAAGUUCACUAUUCUUAUCUGGGGUAACAGCUGCCACUCACUUCUGAUCCACCGGGUUAGGCUGUGUGGCAUCUCUGUGAAGUCUCAUAGUUGCCAGGUGGACUUUAGGUGCCGUGAUGGGGGGAGGCGGUUCUCGUGCAGAAGGCUGGCGUCCCAGCCCCAGAGCUCACCUUGCCUGUUUAAUGCUCCCUUCAGAAGCCAACGAGCUUCACACUAAGCGAUCACGCACUCCUUUCGGCAAAGGUCUAGACACGUGGACACCCACUGAUAGAAUUCAAUCUUCAAGCCACCGAGAGUUUUUUUAAAAGGAAGCUUUAUUUUCUAAAACCAUAAGCAAGACAUGUUCAUUGCAGAAUUUUUGGAAGAUCCAUUAAAUUUGGAAAGGGAAAUAAAUAUCUUAUAGAACUGUGCCUCCCGGAGACGACCACUGUGACAUUUUAUUUGAUCUCCUUAAUGUUUAUCUUGUUUUUUCCUAUGCUAUGUCAAUGCUUUUUAAU